GAUGAACGCUGGCGGCGUGCCUAAUACAUGCAAGUCGAGCGAACGGACGAGAAGCUUGCUUCUCUGAUGUUAGCGGCGGACGGGUGAGUAACACGUGGAUAACCUACCUAUGAGACUGGGAUAACUUCGGGAAACCGGAGCUAAUACCGGAUAAUAUUUUGAACCGCAUGGUUCAAAAGUGAAAGACGGUCUUACUGUCACUUAUAGAUGGAUCCGCGCUGCAUUAGCUAGUUGGUAAGGUAACGGCUUACCAAGGCAACGAUGCAUAGCCGACCUGAGAGGGUGAUCGGCCACACUGGAACUGAGACACGGUCCAGACUCCUACGGGAGGCAGCAGUAGGGAAUCUUCCGCAAUGGGCGAAAGCCUGACGGAGCAACGCCGCGUGAGUGAUGAAGGUCUUCGGAUCGUAAAACUCUGUUAUUAGGGAAGAACAUAUGUGUAAGUAACUGUGCACAUCUUGACGGUACCUAAUCAGAAAGCCACGGCUAACUACGUGCCAGCAGCCGCGGUAAUACGUAGGUGGCAAGCGUUAUCCGGAAUUAUUGGGCGUAAAGCGCGCGUAGGCGGUUUUUUAAGUCUGAUGUGAAAGCCCACGGCUCAACCGUGGAGGGUCAUUGGAAACUGGAAAACUUGAGUGCAGAAGAGGAAAGUGGAAUUCCAUGUGUAGCGGUGAAAUGCGCAGAGAUAUGGAGGAACACCAGUGGCGAAGGCGACUUUCUGGUCUGUAACUGACGCUGAUGUGCGAAAGCGUGGGGAUCAAACAGGAUUAGAUACCCUGGUAGUCCACGCCGUAAACGAUGAGUGCUAAGUGUUAGGGGGUUUCCGCCCCUUAGUGCUGCAGCUAACGCAUUAAGCACUCCGCCUGGGGAGUACGACCGCAAGGUUGAAACUCAAAGGAAUUGACGGGGACCCGCACAAGCGGUGGAGCAUGUGGUUUAAUUCGAAGCAACGCGAAGAACCUUACCAAAUCUUGACAUCCUUUGACAACUCUAGAGAUAGAGCUUUCCCCUUCGGGGGACAGAGUGACAGGUGGUGCAUGGUUGUCGUCAGCUCGUGUCGUGAGAUGUUGGGUUAAGUCCCGCAACGAGCGCAACCCUUAAGCUUAGUUGCCAUCAUUAAGUUGGGCACUCUAAGUUGACUGCCGGUGACAAACCGGAGGAAGGUGGGGAUGACGUCAAAUCAUCAUGCCCCUUAUGAUUUGGGCUACACACGUGCUACAAUGGACAAUACAAAGGGCAGCGAAACCGCGAGGUCAAGCAAAUCCCAUAAAGUUGUUCUCAGUUCGGAUUGUAGUCUGCAACUCGACUACAUGAAGCUGGAAUCGCUAGUAAUCGUAGAUCAGCAUGCUACGGUGAAUACGUUCCCGGGUCU
Molecule: ribosomal RNA, 1372 nt
Filed under: uncultured bacterium
Lineage: Bacteria
Description: bacterial SSU rRNA
Rfam family: Bacterial small subunit ribosomal RNA
Source: RNAcentral